Molecule: long non-coding RNA, 227 nt
Filed under: Physcomitrium patens
Lineage: Eukaryota; Viridiplantae; Streptophyta; Bryopsida; Funariales; Funariaceae
Description: long non-coding RNA (PPAT_LNC014022)
Source: RNAcentral
UUAAGAAAAAAUUAUGAAUGAUCGGUACUCGUUUGAAUACUAUCAUUAUAAGCAAAUUUCAAGGGUGUUAAGUAUUCAUUAUAAUUAUUAUGAUGAACCGCUACAAAUGCCUACAGUAUUUAUUCCAAGAUUCAAAUUACAUACUCUAUGUGGUCAUCUGUUUGAAGAUAGAAGGCUGUAGAUAUGACAAGUCAUGUGCCUAGUAGUUUGAACAAGGCUUGACAAAA